Molecule: long non-coding RNA, 324 nt
Filed under: Felis catus (domestic cat)
Lineage: Eukaryota; Metazoa; Chordata; Mammalia; Carnivora; Felidae
Description: lncRNA (ENSFCAG00000048818.1)
Source: RNAcentral
AGAAAUGAUUACAGCCAAUGGAAACAUUCCCACGUGCACUUCUGUUUACCCAGGUUUCCCUGUGGCCCCGGUGAGGGGCUGCCGAUCCAUUUAUUCCGCGAACAGCUUUGAACUAGACCACGUCUCAGUCAUCUCUUCGCUUACUUCCCGGGAUCUCGCUCAGACGUACAGUGGUCUUCCUAACACCCAGUGGAGGCAGCCUAGAGACCCAUGCAGAAGGCAGGGUAACAGCCACAUGGGUCUCUGAAACCAGGAAGUCUGUCAUCACAGCUCAAGCACAGUCGGAAGGUAAAUCGAAAGGCAAUGGAAGCUUCUCAUCUCUUA